GCUACAACCAGUGGAGUGAGGACAGAAUGAAGCUCAUAACACAUUACAACAGGCUGAUACAUAAAAUCAGACUUCCCGUCCUUGUGUUUUGCCGUUUCCACCUCUCUCCUGUGAACAUAUUGUUUGGUGGGUUCCCUGGUCUUUGGUCUUUAUCUCCCAUCAAGCGUCCCCGGCCGUCUCCUGUGUUCUUCCGUCAUUUGUGUUUCUUUCCUUCUCUGUGGAUUUUGAAUUACUGCCUGUACCUGUCUCGGAUUUGUUUGCUUUAUAGACUGCCUGCCUCUCCGUUGGUUAAGUUUGAUCUCUUUCUUGUUAAUAAACAUCACAAACUAUACCUCC
This is a long non-coding RNA of Micropterus dolomieu (smallmouth bass), 336 nucleotides long. RefSeq lists it as uncharacterized. Lineage: Eukaryota; Metazoa; Chordata; Actinopteri; Centrarchiformes; Centrarchidae. The record is from RefSeq and is a predicted model, not a curated record. The transcript has 2 exons.